GACAGAGGUGCCGAGCGUUAGGCGGAAUCACUGGGCUUAAAGCGUGUGUAGGCGGACGUCUAAGUGCCUUGUGAAAUCCCCCGGCUCAACCGGGGAACCGCUGGGCAUACUGGGCGUCUUGAGUGGUCUAGGGGCAACUGGAACAAACGGUGGAGCGGUGAAAUGCGUAGAUAUCGUUUGGAACGCCAAAGGUGAAAACAGGUUGCUGGGGACCAACUGACGCUGAGACACGAAAGCCAGGGGAGCAAACGGG
RNAcentral lists this ribosomal RNA (253 nucleotides) under uncultured bacterium. RNAcentral describes it as "partial 16S ribosomal RNA". It matches the Rfam family "Bacterial small subunit ribosomal RNA", at positions 524 to 776 of the family's 1533-position model. The record is from RNAcentral.